Panicum virgatum (switchgrass) is the source of this 386-nucleotide long non-coding RNA. RefSeq lists it as uncharacterized. NCBI's taxonomy places the organism in Eukaryota, Viridiplantae, Streptophyta, Magnoliopsida, Poales, Poaceae. The record is from RefSeq and is a predicted model, not a curated record. The transcript has 2 exons.
AUUCCUCAUGGAUGCCACAUUCCGAUCCUACAUGGUGAUUUUUGUAUUGACACAUCUCCCUUCCAUUUUGUACUCGAUGUCGCCUGGUGAUUGUCCUACUGUGCCUGAUGGUGAUUAUCCUACUACGCCUGUGUCCCAUGGUGCUGAUAUAUAGUGGACAUCAAUGCAAGUUUUGAGAAGGGCAAAGAUAUAUAUAGACAACUGAACUGCCAUCUAUUGCUUAUUUGAAUGCCACCAACUGAAUGUAUUUUCAUUUAUUCGUGUAUUCAUGUGUAUAUAUACAUGUUUAUUUUAAGAGUCAUACGAAUUAUUUGAAUGUAUUGUGCAUUCUCUCAUGUAUGCAAUAAAAUGACUACAAAGAUCAAAUAUAUAUUAGACCACCAUGA